Small nucleolar RNA from Eublepharis macularius, 137 nucleotides. Lineage: Eukaryota; Metazoa; Chordata; Lepidosauria; Squamata; Eublepharidae. The record is from RefSeq and is a predicted model, not a curated record.
UGGCAAACUCGAUCACUGGCUCUGCAUUUUGUGGCAGAAGCAAGGGGAACAGGUUUGCUAAAGUAAAUGUGGUAACAGAACCUUAUUUGCCUUAGAAGCAAUAACACUAAGGCUGUUCAUUCUGUACCAUAACAAAA